AAAUUGAAGAGUUUGAUCAUGGCUCAGAUUGAACGCUGGCGGCAGGCCUAACACAUGCAAGUCGAACGGUAACAGGAAACAGCUUGCUGUUUCGCUGACGAGUGGCGGACGGGUGAGUAAUGUCUGGGAAACUGCCUGAUGGAGGGGGAUAACUACUGGAAACGGUAGCUAAUACCGCAUAAUGUCGCAAGACUAAAGAGGGGGACCUUCGGGCCUCUUGCCAUCGGAUGUGCCCAGAUGGGAUUAGCUAGUAGGUGGGGUAACGGCUCACCUAGGCGACGAUCCCUAGCUGGUCUGAGAGGAUGACCAGCCACACUGGAACUGAGACACGGUCCAGACUCCUACGGGAGGCAGCAGUGGGGAAUAUUGCACAAUGGGCGCAAGCCUGAUGCAGCCAUGCCGCGUGUAUGAAGAAGGCCUUCGGGUUGUAAAGUACUUUCAGCGGGGAGGAAGGGAGUAAAGUUAAUACCUUUACUCAUUGACGUUACCCGCAGAAGAAGCACC
This 504-nucleotide ribosomal RNA is filed under the name Shigella sonnei. RNAcentral describes it as "bacterial SSU rRNA". It matches the Rfam family "Bacterial small subunit ribosomal RNA", at positions 1 to 494 of the family's 1533-position model. The record is from RNAcentral. Lineage: Bacteria; Pseudomonadati; Pseudomonadota; Gammaproteobacteria; Enterobacterales; Enterobacteriaceae.